This 1928-nucleotide ribosomal RNA is filed under the name Heterosigma akashiwo. RNAcentral's name for it is "partial Eukaryotic large subunit ribosomal RNA". It matches the Rfam family "Eukaryotic large subunit ribosomal RNA", at positions 1 to 1955 of the family's 3401-position model. Lineage: Eukaryota; Raphidophyceae; Chattonellales; Chattonellaceae. The record is from RNAcentral.
CUGAGGUCAGGCAAGAACACCCGCUGAACUUAAGCAUAUCAAUAAGCGGAGGAAAAGAAACUAACUAGGAUUCCCUUAGUAGCGGCGAGCGAACCGGGAUCAGCCCAACUUGUAAAUCAUUAGCCUUUGGCUAAUUGAAUUGUAGUCUCAAGAUGCGAUCUCUGCAGCUAGCAGUGCCCAAUUUUCCUUGGAAAAGGGAGUCAGAGAGGGUGAGAACCCCGUCGGCACUUGCUUCAGCUGCUCCACGAGGCGUUUUCUCAGAGUCGGGUUGCUUGGGAAUGCAGCCCUAAGUAGGUGGUAAAUCCCAUCUAAGGCUAAAUACUGACGGGAGACCGAUAGCGAACAAGUACCGUGAGGGAAAGAUGAAAAGAACUUUGAAAAGAGAGUCAAAAGUGCUUGAAAUUGUUGAGGGGGAAGGAAUUGGAAGCCGUUUGUGCGCCUGGGCUUAAGUGGGCAAUUCUGCCCAUUGUACGCCUUAGGUGCCGGUCAGCAUCGGCUACUGGACCGGGAUAAUAACUUUCCAUUGGAGAGUGCAUGCCGGCCCGGUGGCCGAGGAUUUGAAAGGUGCUCUUUGAGUCCUUCGGGAACUGCGCCUUCAAGAUGCUGGCAAAAGGCCUUCAAUUCGCCCGUCUUGGAACACGGACCAAGGAGUCUAACAUGUAUGCGAGCCGGUGGGUUUAACACCCAUGAGACGCAAGUAACCUGACUGGUGGGAUGGCUUAUGCCUGCACCAUCGACCGACCAUGAUCUUCUGUGAAAGGUUUGAGUACGAGCAUACCUGUUGGGACCCGAAAGAUGGUGAACUAUGCCUGAGCAGGGCGAAGCCAGGGGAAACUCUGGUGGAGGCUCGUAGAUGUGCUGACGUGCAAAUCGCUUUUCGGACUUGGGUAUAGGGGCGAAAGACUAAUCGAACCAUCUAGUAGCUGGUUCCCUCCGAAAUUUCCCUUAGGAUAGCUGCAACCGGUUAAGAGUUUUAUCAGGUAAAGCGAAUGAUUAGAGGAUUCGGGGACGGAAUGUCCUCGACCUAUUCUCAAACUUUAAAUGGGUAAGAACCCGGGGUUGCUUAAUUGAACCCUGCGGUCGAAUCUCGGUUGCUAGUGGGCCAGUCCGGGUAAGCUGGACUGGCGAUGCGGGAUGAUCCGAACGCUGAGUUAAAGUGCCUAACUGCUCGCUCACCUAGAUCCCACAAAAGGUGUUGGUUCAUCCAGACAGCAGGACGGUGGCCAUGGAAGUCGGAAUCCGCUAAGGAGUGUGUAACAACUCACCUGCCGAAUGAACUAGCCCUGAAAAUGGAUGGCGCUCAAGCGUGCUACCCAUACCUCGCCGCCGGGGUAGAAACGAUGCCCCGGCGAGUAGGCUGGCGUGGAGGCCCGUGACGAAGCCUAGGGAGUGAUCCCGGGUAGAACGGCCUCUAGUGCAGAUCUUGGUGGUAGUAGCAAAUACUCAAAUGAGAACUUUGAGGACUGAAGUGGGGAAAGGUUCCAUGUGAACAGCAGUUGGACAUGGGUUAGUCGAUCCUAAGGGGCAGGGAAACUCCGUUUUAACGUGCGCACUUGUGCGCCGCUCCCCGAAAGGGAAACCGGUUAACAUUCCGGUACCUGGAUGUGGAUUCUCCACGGCAACGUAACUGAAGGCGGAGACGUCGGCGGGGGCCCUGGGAAGAGUUCUCUUUUCUUCUUAACGGUCCAUCACCCUGAAAUCGGUUUGUCCGGAGCUAGGGUUUAACGGCCGGUAGAGCCCCGCACCUUUGCGGGGUCCGGUGCGCUCCCGACGACCCUUGAAAAUCCGCCGGAAGGAAUAGUUUUCACGCCAGGUCGUACUCAUAACCGCAGCAGGUCUCCAAGGUGAAAAGCCUCUAGUUGAUAGAACAAUGUAGGUAAGGGAAGUCGGCAAAAUAGAUCCGUAACCUCGGGAAAAGGAUUGGCUCU